CUACGGGCUGCACCAGUAGGGAAUCUUAGACAAUGGGGGAAACCCUGAUCUAGCCAUGCCGCGUGAGUGAUGAAGGCCUUAGGGUUGUAAAGCUCUUUCGCUGGGGAAGAUAAUGACGGUACCCAGUAAAGAAACCCCGGCUAACUCCGUGCCAGCAGCCGCGGUAAUACGGAGGGGGUUAGCGUUGUUCGGAAUUACUGGGCGUAAAGCGCGCGUAGGCGGGCUAUUAAGUCAGGGGUGAAAUCCCGGGGCUCAACCCCGGAACUGCCUUUGAUACUGGUAGUCUUGAGUUCGAGAGAGGUGAGUGGAAUUCCGAGUGUAGGAGUGAAAUUCGUAGAUAUUCGGAGGAACAUCAGUGGCGAAGGCGACUCACUGGCUCGAUACUGACGCUGAGGUGCGAAAGUGUGGGGAGCAAACAGGAUUAGAUACCCUAGUAGUC
Molecule: ribosomal RNA, 439 nt
Filed under: uncultured bacterium
Lineage: Bacteria
Description: partial 16S ribosomal RNA
Rfam family: Bacterial small subunit ribosomal RNA
Source: RNAcentral